RNAcentral lists this ribosomal RNA (68 nucleotides) under Plantago cretica. RNAcentral describes it as "partial 28S ribosomal RNA". It matches the Rfam family "Eukaryotic large subunit ribosomal RNA", at positions 1 to 62 of the family's 3401-position model. Lineage: Eukaryota; Viridiplantae; Streptophyta; Magnoliopsida; Lamiales; Plantaginaceae. The record is from RNAcentral.
CGACCGCGACCCCAGGUCAGACGGGACUACCCGCUGAGUUUAAGCAUAUCAAUAAGCGGUGGAGAAGA